AUGCUCGGCGAGUACUGCGCCGACCUCUCGGACAUGCACAAGGCGCGCCACUACUACCGCGUCACCUCGCUCUCGGAGGAGGAGAAACUCUACCUCCACCAAAUCGACGACUUCGCCACCGCCACCAUCGCCGAGUACGAGGCCAGCGUCGGCCCCGUCCCCGCCUUCGACAACCACCUCAGCCUGUUCAGCCAAGAAAUCCCACUGGAGUUCCCCGAACCCUUGGCUCCCCCUCCCGCUUCUUCGUCUUCGGCGUCGGUUCGGCUUCUCACCACGAGCCUGCUGUGGACAAUGGAGGGGAUGUUGCAUGCUAAGAGAUGA
This 321-nucleotide ribosomal RNA is filed under the name Triticum aestivum (bread wheat). Its description in RNAcentral is "partial small subunit ribosomal RNA". Lineage: Eukaryota; Viridiplantae; Streptophyta; Magnoliopsida; Poales; Poaceae. The record is from RNAcentral.